GUGAAAUUGUUGAAAGGGAAGCGCUUGCAACCAGACCUGCCUGCAGUUGCUCAUCCGGGCUUUUGCCCGGUGCACUCUUCUGCUGUCAGGCCAGCAUCGGUUCGGGCGGUCGGAUAAAGGCUUCGGGAAUGUAGCUCCUCUCGAGGAGUGUUAUAGCCCGUUGCGAAAUGCGGCCAGCCUGAACUGAGGUCCGCGCUUCGGCUAGGAUGCUGGCGUAAUGGUUGUAAGCGGCCCGUCUUGAAACACGGACCAAGGAGUCUAACAUCUGUGCGAGUGUUUGGGUGUCAAACCCGUACGCGUAAUGAAAGUGAACGGAGGCGGGAACCCCUCGGGGUGCACCGUCGACCGAUCCUGAUGUCUUCGGAUGGAUUUGAGUAAGAGCAUAGCUGUUGGGACCCGAAAGAUGGUGAACUAUGCCUGAAUAGGGUGAAGCCAGAGGAAACUCUGGUGGAGGCUCGCAGCGGUUCCGACGUGCAAAUCGAUCGUCAAAUUUGGGCAUAGGGGCGAAAGACUAAUCGAACUAUCUAGUAGCUGGUUCCUGCCGAAGUUUCCCUCAGGAUAGCAGUAACGUUUUCAGUUUUAUGAGGGAGAGCGAAUGAUUAGAGGCCUGGGGGUUGAAACAACCUUCACCUAUUCUC
Molecule: ribosomal RNA, 638 nt
Filed under: uncultured Ascomycota
Lineage: Eukaryota; Fungi; Ascomycota
Description: LSU rRNA
Rfam family: Eukaryotic large subunit ribosomal RNA
Source: RNAcentral